Molecule: long non-coding RNA, 1202 nt
Filed under: Sus scrofa (pig)
Lineage: Eukaryota; Metazoa; Chordata; Mammalia; Artiodactyla; Suidae
Description: lncRNA (ENSSSCG00050050454.1)
Source: RNAcentral
UUAAGAAAUAUUUACUCCUGAUACAGCUGUUAAUGAGAAUGAUGUUGAUGAUAACACCUAGCAACUAUUAGUAAAGAUGACCUAAUGGUUGCCUAAUGCCCAGCAAACCUGACUUUUAUUAUUAUUAUUAUUAUUUAUUUUUUAUUUUUUUUUUUUGUCUUUUUGCUAUUUCUUGGGCCGCUCCCGCGGCAUAUGGAGGGUCCCAGGCUAGGGGUCGAAUCNACGCCGGAUCGUUAACCCACUGAGCAAGGGCAGGGACCGAACCCGCAACCUCAUGGUUCCUAGUCGGAUUCGUUAACCACUGCGCCACGACGGGAACUCCAAACCUGACUUUUAAAUUCGAACACACCCCUGAGCCCUGGACGUUCCCCUCUUGCCAUUAUGACAUGUGGGGUGAAGGUGGGAGGAGGCCUCCGUCUGGCAGAGGCCCCUUUAAAAAUGUACCCGGGUUCCUCCUCUGCCAACCAAGUUCUAAAAAUAUUACUCCAGCAAAAGCUGAAAUAUUUGCAGAGAAAACUGAAUUUCCUGCUACCCUCACCCCCUCCACUCAAAUGGGUAAAAUCCUGACCUGAGAAGCCCCCAGAUCAGCUCCACCAAAGGCACAGCCUCCUACUUUCCACCCCCGCCUCACCAUGGAGUCCCUCUGUGGGCUUGAGCUGGGAUGUUAUGUUCAGACAGUACCCACUCCAGGGAGGGGAAGCCACAAGUAUUGGCAAAUAGCUUGCCAUGUGCCUUGGCUUUCCUCUCUGCUUACGAGGACCAACUCUCUCCAAAUCCCCUUCCAUCUGUCCCAAGAAGGAUCUGUAUUGGACCCCAGAAGCUUGCCACUAAUCCAUCUUUUAUCCUCUCUUUUGUCGAAUCAUCUCCUCCUUGGCUGGCCCUGCCUUCUAUCCUGUGCCCUCCAUCUCCGUGCUCCCUGCUGGGUCCACCACACCCACAGGCCCCAGCUCCCUCUCUAACCUGGCCCUCCCUGCCUUCCUCUCCCUUCCAGGCCUGCUGCCAUCCUUCUCCCUCAACUGUGGGGGCCAGCGAAGACAGAGGAGAUGUUUUGAAAUCUGAAGAGUCAAGGAGGAUAACUGCAGCACCGAAGGCCAGCAGGUUAACAGAGUGAGGUAGCCUGCUGCCCAAAGCAGCCUGGCCCAGCAUUCCACGGUGCUUCUGUCCCCUUUCCUUGUUCAUCUAUUCAAGAAUCAGAGGUUCAG